RNAcentral lists this transfer RNA (71 nucleotides) under Loxodonta africana (African savanna elephant). It matches the Rfam family "tRNA". Rfam says of the family: Transfer RNA (tRNA) molecules are approximately 80 nucleotides in length. Their secondary structure includes four short double-helical elements and three loops (D, anti-codon, and T loops). Further hydrogen bonds mediate the characteristic L-shaped molecular structure. tRNAs have two regions of fundamental functional importance: the anti-codon, which is responsible for specific mRNA codon recognition, and the 3' end, to which the tRNAs corresponding amino acid is attached (by aminoacyl-tRNA synthetases). tRNAs cope with the degeneracy of the genetic code in two manners: having more than one tRNA (with a specific anti-codon) for a particular amino acid; and 'wobble' base-pairing, i.e. permitting non-standard base-pairing at the 3rd anti-codon position. The record is from Rfam by way of RNAcentral. Lineage: Eukaryota; Metazoa; Chordata; Mammalia; Proboscidea; Elephantidae.
ACAUCGGUGGUUUAGUGGUAGAAUUCUCACCUUCCAUGCAGGAGAUUCAGGUUUGAUUCCUGGCCCAUGUA